UACAGAGGUCCCGAGCGUUGUUCGGAUUCACUGGGCGUAAAGGGUGCGUAGGUGGCAGGGUAAGUCGGAUGUGAAAGCUCGGAGCUCAACUCCGAAAUGGCAUUGGAAACUACCCAGCUCGAGGGUUGGAGGGGGGACUGGAAUGCUUGGUGUAGCAGUGAAAUGCGUAGAUAUCGAGAGGAACACCAGUGGCGAAGGCGAGUCCCUGGACAACACCUGACACUGAGGCACGAAAGCCGGGGGAGCAAACAGG
RNAcentral lists this ribosomal RNA (253 nucleotides) under uncultured bacterium. Its description in RNAcentral is "partial 16S ribosomal RNA". It matches the Rfam family "Bacterial small subunit ribosomal RNA", at positions 524 to 776 of the family's 1533-position model. The record is from RNAcentral.